GGUCAUAGUGUAAAAAAUCAGGGCAAUUCCCGAGAAAUACUUAAGGACCUCUAGCAAAAAGUAGGUCAUUGACCUAGUUGUUUGAAUUUAAAUUUAAUACAAGAAUCAUAGAUGCUCGGUGUAAAAAAAGAUUUUUUUUUCUUAUCAAUGGAAUAUUUAGUCAUUUGAGUAAAGGUAUACUUUAACGUCCCUCUCGAAAAUUUAAAUUAUAACUUAAAUAUCUAUUCUAGCUCUCCCUCAGUAGCGGCUAGGUUACAUGUGGCGCUCCCUUCAAGAGCGUACAGAUUGACGUUGCGUCUACGUACGAGUUAUGUUGUUGAACGCACCCCUGAGUUUCUUUACUGUAAAGUCAACGUUCGAUGUGUUUUGAUAUUUUUAAGGAAUAUUCACAAAAUCUGGGUUAAAUAAAAUGUAGGAUUUGUGUAAAAAGUCUGUAAAUGCAUUUAUUUAAAUAUCCAUUCUAGAAUUUAAUUGUGAUCGCUAGGCAAAGGUAAUAUUGAUAGACAAAUCUUUUUCUAAUCAAAUAAUAAUUUAACAAAUAUGAUGGAAAGCCGGUUGGGGGACUCAAAUAUAUCAUAAAAGUGUUUAUUUAUUGAAUCAACAGAUACUGUCAACAGGCCUCAUUCCAAAAGAAGAUGUUCAUGGCAGAAAAAUCAUCGAAUCUUCCAAACAAAUAUUAUUGAUUUCAGUUAAGUGUGCAGUGUUGCAUUACGUCACGAUAUUUUUCGACAGAUGCAUCCAGCAUAAAUAAUUUGCACCCCGCUGUGUGAUUAGUCAUUAUCAACAGCGACACGGAUAUUGUUGCACGAACAACCAAUCAGGGUUAAGAAGAAAGUUCCAGUCAUAAAGCGUGCGGUAAGGAGGCGUGUACUAUUUACCUUGAGCGCAGCUUUCAUCAUACAUGCAAGUUGUGAUGUAAUGCAAAACUGCACUCUUUACUGAAAUUGAUAAUAAUGAUUUCAAUAUGAUGCUGGUCUGGAAGGGUACAGGCAUUGAAGUGAUGACAGAUUUAACGUCACCUAUUCUACUGUGUACAGAUGCUUCAUGCGGACUCAUGCUCUACAAUGCCUGUCUUCAGAGACAAUUAAGUGACCUACUGGUUAGUGCCUUUGUGAGUGUGUGUGUGUAGCUAAAGGUGAGCUAAGGCAAAUGAAGUCAUGGAAGGUUCGAGUUUUAGAGGCUGUCGACGGAUGUCACAUAAAGAUAACAGCUCCAUAAGAAAAAUUUCAUCUGCUUCUCUUUCUAUAGCUAAUCUCUGCAUUUCCAUUUCCUGUCUCUUCUAUCCUUUCCAUACGCUCAUCUCCUUCAAAUGCAGAGACAUAUUUCCACAAUUCAUUCUCGUUGUAGUCGGUGUCGAUGUUGUCGAUGUAAACUUUUGACAUUUUCAUUAUCUCAAGAACCACUGGGCUUAUUAUAACCCAACUGGCCACAAAGUAUCCUUGGGUGAAGGGGAUCGAUUCAAGUUUGUUCAAAUGAAGAGCCACGCCCUCUUCCAAGGGGAGCACACUCUAGAUGUGAUCGAUCAACAGGGGAUGCUUGCUCCUCCAUGGCACAUGAAACUUCCUCAGAUGUUUCAAAGAGUAUAAAUAGCGCGUAAGGCAGCCAUUUGCAUUACGCAUGUUUGACACCAGCGUCUUAUUCGUGUCCAGUUAAAGGAGCAGGUAUCUAAAGCAUCAGAAGUGGGAUAAGGUGCCAUGGAAAAAGUAACAUUCCUAUCGAUCGGUCCCUCUUGCCGUGUGCUCCUUAUAAUAAUCGGAUGAUAAGG
Long non-coding RNA from Saccostrea cuccullata (small rock oyster), 1765 nucleotides. RefSeq lists it as uncharacterized. Lineage: Eukaryota; Metazoa; Mollusca; Bivalvia; Ostreida; Ostreidae. The transcript has 4 exons. The record is from RefSeq and is a predicted model, not a curated record.